CCCAUAGCCAGUGAAACCCAGACAACAGCUGCGGGUUCUGAGGCAGCGGGCGGAGCAGCGCGGGGAGCCCGAGGGGAGCGUGUGUGGGGCGGUAGCUGCCUGAGAUUGUGAGAUGGGGACUGAGAACAAGGAGGUAAUUCCCAAGGAAGAAAUUUCUGAAGAAUCUGAACCACAUGGGGCAAUAUUAGAAAAACUUCCAAAGGUGGUUUAUCAGGGUCACGAGUUUGGAGCAGCAUGUGAAGAAGACAUAUUGGAGGAGCAUUCCAGAGAGUCCACAGAAGAGGUUCUGGAGCAGGUGUCCCCUGAGGAGAGAGACUUUGCAUCAGGGUUGAUUGUCUUUAAGAAAUCACCCUCAAGUGAGAAAGACCAUGAGAAUAAUGAAAGUGAGCGAGCCUACAAUCCUAGCUCAAACCUGAUCACGUACCAGGGAGAUACUACAGCAGAGGCAGUUAGCACAUUUGCUGCUUCUGGCCAAAACUUCAUAGAGAAUUUAGGACCUAAUAAAACACAUAGAAAUUCUCUGGGAGAAAAGGCUCAUACAUGUAAAGAAUGUGGGAAAGCCUUUAAUCAAAACUCACAUCUUAUUCAGCAUAUGAGAGUUCAUAGUGGAGAGAAACCCUUUGAAUGCAAAGAAUGUGGAAAAACAUUUGGAACUAACUCAAGCCUUCGAAGGCACCUGAGAAUUCAUGCUGGAGAGAAGCCCUUUGCUUGUAAUGAAUGUGGAAAGGCCUUCAUUCAGAGUUCACAUCUCAUCCACCAUCACAGAAUUCAUACUGGAGAGAGACCUUAUAAAUGUGAAGAAUGUGGUAAAGCCUUCAGUCAGAAUUCAGCCCUUAUUCUACAUCAGAGAAUCCACACUGGGGAGAAACCAUAUGAAUGUAAUGAAUGUGGGAAGACCUUUAGGGUUAGCUCACAGCUUAUUCAGCAUCAGAGAAUUCAUACUGAAGAAAGAUAUCAUGAAUGCAAUGAGUGUGGCAAAGCCUUCAAGCAUAGCUCAGGCCUCAUUAGACACCAGAAAAUUCAUACUGGAGAAAAACCCUAUCUGUGUAAUGAAUGUGGGAAAGGCUUCGGUCAGAGUUCUGAGCUCAUCCGGCAUCAAAGAAUUCAUACAGGAGACAAACCGUAUGAAUGUAAUGAAUGUGGGAAAACUUUUGGCCAGAACUCAGAGAUUAUUAGACAUAUUAGAAUUCAUACUGGUGAGAAGCCCUACGUAUGUAAGGAAUGCGGGAAGGCCUUUAGGGGAAACUCAGAACUUCUUAGACAUGAGAGAAUUCACACUGGAGAGAAACCCUAUGAAUGCUUUGAGUGUGGAAAGGCUUUUAGGCGGACCUCUCACCUUAUUGUCCACCAGAGAAUUCAUACUGGAGAGAAACCUCAUCAGUGUAAUGAAUGUGCCAGAACCUUUUGGGAUAACUCUGAGCUGCUUCUCCACCAGAAAAUUCACAUUGGAGAGAAACCUUAUGAAUGUAAUGAGUGUGAGAAAACAUUCAGCCAGCAUUCCCAACUUAUCAUACAUCAGAGAAUUCACACUGGAGAGAAGCCUUACGAGUGCCAAGAAUGUCAGAAGACCUUUAGUCGGAGUUCUCACCUCCUCCGACAUCAAAGUGUUCACUGUAUGGAAUGAUCUGCAAAGCAUGAAAGCCUUCUGUGGAAAAGCUAAAGUCAGACUUAUUGUUCUCAGUCUGUACCCCAAGUUCUCAGAUCAAAUGAAUGGACAGAACCUCCUCUGUCCUUUUACUGAUUUUUAUUUAAACAGUUGGUCAAAAAGGUUGAGGCACUUUUAUGAACUAUUCAUUGAGAAGUUUCAGUGUACUGAGUUAAAUCAUAAAAGCUGUUUCAGGCCUUAAUUCUCCACUAUCCCUUUUUCCUUUCCUUCCUCCCUCCCCACUAGUGGAUCACAUAACAUUAGGGGUCUUUACUGGCCAUCUAGCCCAAAUUGUUACUGUUCAGGAAAAAUGGAGGAACAUGAUUCCACCACUUCCUAGGAAUGACAGAGUUGACCCCUCGAAUAUUACCCCUGAAAUGUUAAAGUCAUGGCCUAGAAGACACACCUCUCUCUUUCCCACUGUUUAGCAUUGGAAUUUAGUAAGCUUUUAUUAGCUUCAAAAUCUUCCAAACUUGCUAUCAAGUUCCCUUGGAAGAUGGCAGCAUUAAUGAAGAAGCGGGAAGCUUGGGUCAUUUCCCAUCUCCUGCUAGGCUUCCUUAGUCAUCUGAGAGGGUGCCAUGAUAGAGGAAACUGACAAGCAAUUUAUAGGAUUGUAAGUGAAGGCCCUCAGAAUCCAGAGGGGCUGAUUAGCAAGGCCAGGGGAUAAACAAGUGGGGCCAGACUACUCAGCAUGGGCAGAAGCAGCUCUUUUGCAGCUCUUUCUCAUUUCAGGGCCGUUCAGACUGAGUGCUCCCAAGAACUCUGGGCCUCUGCAUUUACUUUGGGCCCCAGCUUGUGUUGCUGCUGACAGAUCCUGUGUCAGGAAAUAACAAAGAGGACUGCAGCUUCAUUGUCACUAGGCACCUGGCCACGGUGAUGAGCUGGUUCACCUGACUGACCAGGACCCUGCCUUGCCAAAGCACUUAAGCUCAUGACCUGGGCCCCACUGCUGGGGUCCCUGGCUAAUAGGCCAGGAUAUGACAGCCUCUUCUCAAUUUGCCCUUGGCUUUGGAAUUCUCUUUCUUCAGCAUUUCUACAUGUGUUUUCUGUGUUCUCUUACGUGUUUUUUUUUUUUUUUUCUUCAAGGAAACACAUCCUCAAUUUUUCAUGUGUCAAUGUUUCUGAGGCAGUGAAUGGUAGUGGGAAUUGCACUAAUGGGGAUCCAGCUUGCUUGGGGUCUGGUCUUAGAACUAGACCUAGAAUAAGGCACUUCACCUGCUGAUCCCUAAUUUCCUCAUCUGUAAAAUGAGGGGAGUUGAACUAAGUGAUCUCAAGUUUCAACUGGCCCAAUAAUUCCUUUUUUCUUUAAAAAAAAUUUAACUUUAUAUAUCUUCAGUGUUUUAUUCUUUAAUCUCUUUAUUACAGUAAUACUAAUCACUAGUAUUUAUUGAAUUUUUACUAUGUGCCAGGCAGAGUGCCAGACAGUUUACAUUUUUGUUUUCACAGCCUCCCUAUGGUGUGAGUACUCUUUUUUUAAAAACAAACAAAACGGCUUUAUUGAGGUAUAAUUUACAUACCAUAAAAUUCACCUGUUUAAGUGUUCAGUUGAAUGCUUUUUAGUUAAUUUACAGAGUUGCACAACCAUCAGUGAUGUGGGUUCUCUUACACCAAUUUGAAAGGUGAGGGGCAGGGGAGAAGUCAAGUAACUUGCCCAUGAUCACACAGCUGGUAAGUGCUAGAGCCAAGACUCCAGCCCUGAGCUGUGCUCCUAAGCACUGUGUUGUACUGUGAAUAGGUGCAUGCAUUACUGCCUUAUUCGAAAUUCUUUGUACAUUUUCUUAUUCAUUAUUAAUUACUACAUGAAUUUGAAUAUAAUGGAUUUAAAUCAUGUCCUUGGAAACAUAAUUGGUCAUAGCCAAAACCCAUCAAGUGGGUUUAUUCUGUACCCCAAUAUGUGCCCCCACCCCCGGGCUCAUGCUCUUGGCUUGAGAAAAGGGCUGUACAAGUAAAACAGUUGAUGGGGACUUCCUUGGCAGUUCAGUUGUUAAGACUUUGCCUUCCAAUGCAGGGGUGUGGGUUCGAUCCCUGGUCGGGGCGCUAAGAUCCCACAUGCAUCAAGUCCAAAAAACCAAAACAUAAGGCAGAAGCAAUAUUGUAACAAAUACAGUAAAGACAAAAAAAAGUCCAUAUCAAAACAAACAGAAAAAAGUUGAUUACACAGUUUCCACAUCCUUCCAGGUACCUCUGUCUCUAGUAGUUAGACGUUAGUAGAAGUUCUUUAACUCAUCUCUUUCCAUAGGGUGUUUACAAGUGCAGUGUGCUCUCAUUCCUUUUUUCAUCACUCAAGCUCAAAUUGAAUUAUACCCAAACAUAUCUUUCUCAUGUGAAACCUGGAUGUUACUUAUUCCCUUAAAUUCUUAUUCCUGUGUUUGAAUAUUUUAUUUGCACAUUCACCCCUUGCCAGCCCUUAAUAUAGAACUCAGCACCUCUUCAAACUCCCCAGAAAGGAUCCCCUCACAGAAACAUAUCCAUGAGUAAUACGGACUCUACUCAAGAUUCUGGUGUGUAAGAGGUGGAGAAGGGGGUUUAUAUCCUACUAGACAUCUCGUUCUCAGCAGUCCCUUCUUUGCCAAACUGCCACUGAAGGUUUUUCUCUUUGUCCUCCCCUCUCAGGGCUGUCACCUCAGCUCCUUUUUAGGCCCUUCAGUAACAGACCGCUCAUUGGAACACUAGAAGACAAUUUAGUGACCAAUUUUUGUUGUGCCUGAUCAUAUUAAGGGAAGAAGUUCUCACCUCUCAUUCUAAGAAGAAUUUUCCAACAUAUAUUAAUUCUUUCCCAAGAGAAAUUCUGACAGUGUUUUCAUCGGUGGACCCAACUUUGCCGGCACCGACGAACCUCUAAGUCAUCGAAAUCGCUCGUCAUCGAAAUCGCUCGGCCACCACUGCCUCCGGGACCAAGAGACAGAAUUCCCACCUUGGAAUUCAUCAGAAAACUUGUACUGGAGAGGCCCUUGGAAUACCAAUGCGGAAAAGCCUCUGAUCAGAACUCUCACCAGUUUCAGCAUCAGAGCAUCCACAGUGCACAGCGAUCUGGGGAUUUACUCACUGUAGGACACUUUCAUUCCGACCUGAAACUUUGCUCUGAUCUUUCCUCUUCUCUACCGAUGUCACUAGACUGGAAAUGCCCUUUGUGCCAGCUAAUUUUGUCCUGCUCCUUGAGGACAGGGCUACCUUGUUGUAGAAGAGCGUAUCGCAUUCAGCCCAGGGUUGCCACUCAAAUAUUAACCAAUGAAUGACUUAAAUAAAUAAGAGGCCAUAAAUGAUGAAUUGGACAUUUCAAAUUUAAUUAACUGAAUGUAGAAUCAUAAUGCCUUUGCUGUCCUUUAUUUUUCUAUGCAGAUCCUUUAUCCCCUAAAAUGAUGGCCAUGGCAUUAAAGGUCUAUAUCACCCAUCUAAUAUAAAUUAUAUCUCUUUAUGUGAUAUGGGGACACGUAAAAUGUUAAACAUUGAACCAAAACCUUUCUUUAGCUGAGGGAAUUGAUCCACUAUACGAUUUACUCAAAUACAAGAUAGCCACAGAUUGCUUUAAACACACCUCUUCUCCUUGCAACUUUCAGCACUGAAACAAAACAAAACCCAAAUCAGAUACUUCACCUGUACCAUCCUCAAAAUCUUUCUUUCAUAAGAGGCUUUGUUUACUUCUUGAUCUCGUUUCUGUUUUUAUACAUUAUUUCCAUCUUCUUGGAUAUAUUAUAUUUUUUUCUUCAUGUGAGCUAUAUCUUAAAUGUAUUUGCUGGGAUUCAGUAUUCUUACUUUUGCAGCUGCUUCAGCAUCAUCACAGGCUUAUGUUUUCUUCAUAUGUAGUAGUAUGCUCAGGAUAAUCUUGAAAAUUAGUUGUUCUUGUGUGUUUUGUUUUGUUUUGUUGGCUGAGCCACACAGCUUGUGGGAUCUUAGUUCCCUGAGCAGGGGUUGAACCUGGGCCCUCAGCAGUGAAAGCGUGGAGUCCUAACCACUGGAUGGCCAGGGAAUUCCUUGAAAAUUAGUUUUUAAAUGACUUGUUAUUGAAAGGAUUAGAAUCUAUUGCAGGACAAACCAUAUGUUGGGAGCCUCACUAUCUACAGCAGAACCCUGCCAGGCUGGAUGUUCUGUCCGUUGAAUACAGGCAACGCCUCUUUAACUCCUUUCUUUCUUUCUUCCUUCCUUUCUCCCUUCCUUCCUCCUUCCUCCUUUCUUCUUUCCUUCCUUCCUUCCUUUCUCUUUCUUUCCUUCUUUCUUUCUUCCUUCCUUCCCUCCUUCCUUCCCCUCUCUCUCUCUCUCUCUCUCUUUCCUUCCUUCAUUCCUUUCUACAGAAAUUUAUUUUCUCACUGUUCUGGAGGCUACAAAUCCCAGAUUGAGAUGCCAGCCAAUUUGGUUCCUACUGAGAGCUCUCUUCCUGGCUGUGGGUGACCAUGUUCUCAUUAUGUCCUCACAUGGUGGAGGGAGAGGGAGGGAAAGAGGAAAGAAGGAAGAGAGGGAGAGCGGGAGAGCUUCUUUUUCUCUUAAAAUGUUUUCUCAGGUACCUUGGGGAAAAGUGUCCCUUUUUUCUCUCUAUGCCACGUGGACCCGUUCAUUAGCUAGAAAUAAAUUCCAAUUAAGCAAAGAAACAGCAGUAAUGCAGGAAAUGCAAGUGAAUCAAGGAAAAAGUAGCCAUUUGUUUUUAAGGCAAACAACCAAAUAACCAGUGCCACCAGCCUGUAAAGACCCCAAACACACCCAGAAAUCCCUUCAGAAUUCAUCAUGGAUUGUCUAAUCUUGGUUAUUCCCUGAAUUUCAAUUUCCUCAUCCAUAAAGUGGGGAAAAUACCCACGCUUCAAGUUUGUGGGAGUAUAGUACAAAAUGGUAUAUCUGACAGUCCACUGCUUUGUGUAUAGUAGGAGCCCAAUAAAUGCAGUUUCUUUUUCUCUUUUACCCACUUUCUUUCUCCUCUGAUUUACCCCGAGUUAAAGAUGCUUUCCCACAAGCGUUAGAAUUCAAAGAGAAUAAAAAUUGCAUCUUAACCACUACAUUGUACUUAUUUUUAUUUCCUGUUUUUUUUUUCUUUCUGUGUUUUGUCUUAAAUGUACAUUAUUUCAUCUACCUUAAGGACACUAAGUAGCCCUUGUGAGUUGACAUGGGAAUCUAAUUACCAUUAUAACACUGUUUCUUUGUCAGGGCCAAUGUAUUAUGUUUGCAGGUCUACCACAGAAGAUUUCUUCCUUUACAAGUGGGAAUUCCAUUGUGAAGUGCUUAUAGGAAAAGUCAAAACUUCUUUCUACUGCUUAUAAGUUUUAGUUCUUGUUUCUAAAAUGAAAUUCCAUAUCUCAGCCAAUUCUGCUGCCUAUGUAUUUAUUACUGGCUUUAAGCAAUUCGAUUUUGAUAGUACCUUGGUGUGUCUGUCUUCACGUUUCUUCUGCUUUGUGUUUGUUGAAAUUCUUGGAUCUGUAGAUUUAUAGUUUACAGCAAAUUUGGAAAGUUGUUAGCUGUUACUUCUUCAAAUGUUUUUCUGCUUUCCUCUUUCUUCCCCUUGGGACUCUAAUUACACAUGUAUUAGGUUGAUUAAAGUUGUCUCACAACUUA
Molecule: non-coding RNA, 7180 nt
Organism: Globicephala melas (long-finned pilot whale)
Lineage: Eukaryota; Metazoa; Chordata; Mammalia; Artiodactyla; Delphinidae
Source: RefSeq, a predicted model, not a curated record